This 459-nucleotide ribosomal RNA is filed under the name uncultured bacterium. RNAcentral describes it as "partial 16S ribosomal RNA". It matches the Rfam family "Bacterial small subunit ribosomal RNA", at positions 338 to 795 of the family's 1533-position model. The record is from RNAcentral.
CCUACGGGAGGCAGCAGUGAGGAAUAUUGGUCAAUGGGAGAGAUCCUGAACCAGCCAAGCCGCGUGAGGGAGGACGGCCCUAUGGGUUGUAAACCUCUUUUGUCGGAGAACAAAACCCGGGACGUGUCCCGGACUGCGUGUCUCCGAAGAAAAAGCAUCGGCUAACUCCGUGCCAGCAGCCGCGGUAAUACGGAGGAUGCGAGCGUUAUCCGGAUGUAUUCGGUUAAAAGGGUCCGUAGGCGGUACGUUAAGUCAGCGGGAAAAUUGCGGGGCUCAACCCCGUCGAGCCGUUGAAACUGGGAGACUUGAGUUGGCGAGAAGUACGCGGAAUGCGCGGUGUAGCGGUGAAAUGCAUAGAUAUCGCGCAGAACUCCGAUUGCGAAGGCAGCGUACCGGCGCCAGACUGACGCUGAGGCACGAAAGCGUGGGGAUCGAACAGGAUUAGAUACCCUGGUAGUC